Molecule: unclassified non-coding RNA, 252 nt
Filed under: Hevea brasiliensis (rubber tree)
Lineage: Eukaryota; Viridiplantae; Streptophyta; Magnoliopsida; Malpighiales; Euphorbiaceae
Source: RNAcentral
GUUUUGCAAAUAAUUCAGGACUCUGUGGACGACCAUUGGAUCCUUGCCUUCGCUCUCCUCCAAAUGAGCUCUCUUUUUCCUUCAUCACAGGGUUUGUGGUUGGUUAUAUGGUUGCUAUAGCUUUGGUUUUGUAUCUUUAUUUUUGGUUUUCUAUGUCCAAAAGGUCUAAGAAGAAAUCGAUGGAGAAGAAAAUCAAAAAGGGAAGACAACCAAUUGAUGGAAGAAGGAUGGAUAUAAAGAUGUCUACACUGG